GUGGGGAAUAUUGGACAAUGGGCGCAAGCCUGAUCCAGCAAUGCCGCGUGGGUGAAGAAGGUCUUCGGAUCGUAAAGCCCUUUCGACAGGGACGAUGAUGACGGUACCUGUAGAAGAAGCCCCGGCUAACUUCGUGCCAGCAGCCGCGGUAAUACGAAGGGGGCUAGCGGUACUCGGAAUUACUGGGCGUAAAGGGCGCGUAGGCGGCUCUGUUAGUCAGGCGUGAAAUUCCUGGGCUUAACCUGGGGACUGCGCUUGAUACUGCAGGGCUUGAGGCCGAGAGAGGGUGGUGGAAUUCCCAGUGUAGAGGUGAAAUUCGUAGAUAUUGGGAAGAACACCGGUGGCGAAGGCGACCACCUGGCUCGGUUCUGACGCUGAGGCGCGACAGCGUGGGGAGCAAACAGGAUUAGAAACCCGGGUAGUCC
This 425-nucleotide ribosomal RNA is filed under the name uncultured bacterium. RNAcentral's name for it is "partial 16S ribosomal RNA". It matches the Rfam family "Bacterial small subunit ribosomal RNA", at positions 354 to 796 of the family's 1533-position model. The record is from RNAcentral.